AGUAAUUUUGGGGCCCUUUAUAGCUUGUUGUUCGGUGUGAGCCAAGGCUCCGUGUUGAAGGCCGUACUUUAACCUAUAAUGGUUUACUUUUUAAAUUAUUAUUUGUAUGGAGAGUUGUCUCAUUGGCACUCACACCAUAUCUUCCUAUAUCUAUUAGGACAGAGUAUUCGUCGUUUAUUUUGAUCAGUAAAAGUCUUCCUCAAACC
RNAcentral lists this long non-coding RNA (206 nucleotides) under Mytilus galloprovincialis (Mediterranean mussel). Lineage: Eukaryota; Metazoa; Mollusca; Bivalvia; Mytilida; Mytilidae. The record is from RNAcentral.